UUGACCUCGGCUCAGGUAGGGAUACCCGCUGAACUUAAGCAUAUCAAUAG
Molecule: ribosomal RNA, 50 nt
Filed under: Pseudocyphellaria clathrata
Lineage: Eukaryota; Fungi; Ascomycota; Lecanoromycetes; Peltigerales; Lobariaceae
Description: partial 26S ribosomal RNA
Source: RNAcentral